RNAcentral lists this ribosomal RNA (263 nucleotides) under uncultured bacterium. RNAcentral describes it as "partial 16S ribosomal RNA". It matches the Rfam family "Bacterial small subunit ribosomal RNA", at positions 524 to 786 of the family's 1533-position model. The record is from RNAcentral.
UACGUAGGUGGCAAGCGUUGUCCGGAUUUACUGGGCGUAAAGGAUGUGUAGGCGGAUAUUUAAGUGAGAUGUGAAAUCCCCGGGCUUAACUUGGGGGCUGCAUUUCAAACUGGAUGUCUAGAGUGCAGGAGAGGAAAGCAGAAUUCCUAGUGUAGCGGUGAAAUGCGUAGAGAUUAGGAAGAAUACCAGUGGCGAAGGCGGCUUUCUGGACUGUAACUGACGCUGAGGCAUGAAAGCGUGGGGAGCAAACAGGAUUAGAUACC